AUUCGGAUUUCAUUUCCAUGGACAAUAACAAUUUGGUAUUCUUCAUGUUCCGCCAAAUUGGACCAGCAAUGUUCCGGAAUACGCAGGUUUCCAUGUCAUGUGUAGGUGGAUGUGGAUGCCUUCUUCACCACCAGUCCCAUCCUAUUGUAAUUUGUAGCUUGCUCUUCUUUUUUCAGGUGUAGUCCAGUGACUAGUAGGUUUCAAAUUUAAAUACUUAUGACACCAUAGUAAUGUGUGAGAGAAAUCUUUCAUUUUCUUAUAGUUUAAAUUAUUACUUAUUUUUAAAAUAAACGUUUUAGUUUUUUGCGUGAUCUAAAAUAAUCGAGGCCCUGGUUUUCUAAAGUAGAUCCAGAUCAAAGACAAAGUAAAUGAGCUUGGUUCCCACUCGGCCAAUAGUCAGAUUCUGGAUCUUCAUGUGUUUCCCAUGGUCCCAGAUGUCAGCAUACUGCAGAAACAGCUAUAUAAUAUGUUGUGAGCCCCUAUCAUCAACUUGUGGCUGUAGUUUAGUGAUCAGUUUCAAAUAUCCAGACGAUGUGCAUUCAGUACAUCUGUAGGACUAGGACUGUGUGGGCUAUUUCAAUGUUGCCCUAUGUUUUGGCUGAGGAGAGGAGGAGGCUCAUCUCAUCUGUCAAAGUAUUCGAACCAGUGGAUCCCAUGAUCAUGUAACCAAAAUAUAUAUUUAUAUAGAUGAUGUCCAUUACAGUUCAA
Prunus persica (peach) is the source of this 708-nucleotide long non-coding RNA. RefSeq lists it as uncharacterized. The record is from RefSeq and is a predicted model, not a curated record. Lineage: Eukaryota; Viridiplantae; Streptophyta; Magnoliopsida; Rosales; Rosaceae. The transcript has 2 exons.